GGCAACGGAUAUCUCGGCUCUUGCAUCGAUGAAGAACGUAGCAAAAUGCUAUACUUGGUGUGAAUUGCAGAAUCCCGUGAACCAUCGAGUCUUUGAACGCAAGUUGCGCCUGAAGCCAUUAGGUUGAAGGCACGUCUGCCUGGGCGUC
This 148-nucleotide ribosomal RNA is filed under the name Rhododendron griersonianum. Its description in RNAcentral is "5.8S ribosomal RNA". It matches the Rfam family "5.8S ribosomal RNA". From Rfam's summary of the family: 5.8S ribosomal RNA (5.8S rRNA) is a component of the large subunit of the eukaryotic ribosome. The record is from RNAcentral. Lineage: Eukaryota; Viridiplantae; Streptophyta; Magnoliopsida; Ericales; Ericaceae.